ACCCGCUGAACUUAAGCAUAUCAAUAAGCGGAGGAAAAGAAACUAACAAGGAUUCCCCUAGUAACUGCGAGUGAAGCGGGAAGAGCUCAAAUUUAAAAUCUGGCGGUCCCCGUGGCCGUCCGAGUUGUAACCUAGAGAAGUGCUAUCCGCGCUGGACCGUGUACAAGUCUCCUGGAACGGAGCGUCACAGAGGGUGAGAAUCCCGUCUUUGACACGGACUACCAGGGCUUUUGUGAUGCGCUCUCGAAGAGUCGAGUUGUUUGGGAAUGCAGCUCAAAAUGGGUGGUAAAUUCCAUCUAAAGCUAAAUAUUGGCGAGAGACCGAUAGCGAACAAGUACCGUGAGGGAAAGAUGAAAAGAACUUUGGAAAGAGAGUUAAACAGUACGUGAAAUUGUUGAAAGGGAAACGCUUGAAGUCAGUCGCGUCGGCCAGGGAUCAACCUUGCAUUUAUUUGCUGGGAGUACUUCCUGGUCGACGGGUCAGCAUCAAUUUUGAUCGUCGGAUAAAGGCUUAGGGAAUGUGGCAUCUUCGGAUGUGUUAUAGCCCUUGGUCGCAUGCGACGGUCGGGAUUGAGGAACUCAGCACGCCGCAAGGCCGGGGUAUUCGUACCCACGUUCGUGCUUAGGAUGCUGGCAUAAUGGCUUUAAUCGACCCGUCUUGAAACACGG
This 668-nucleotide ribosomal RNA is filed under the name uncultured fungus. RNAcentral's name for it is "eukaryotic LSU rRNA". It matches the Rfam family "Eukaryotic large subunit ribosomal RNA", at positions 23 to 664 of the family's 3401-position model. The record is from RNAcentral. Lineage: Eukaryota; Fungi.